RNAcentral lists this ribosomal RNA (1093 nucleotides) under Escherichia coli. Its description in RNAcentral is "partial 23S ribosomal RNA". It matches the Rfam family "Bacterial large subunit ribosomal RNA", at positions 654 to 1746 of the family's 2925-position model. Lineage: Bacteria; Pseudomonadati; Pseudomonadota; Gammaproteobacteria; Enterobacterales; Enterobacteriaceae. The record is from RNAcentral.
CGAAUAGGGGAGCCGAAGGGAAACCGAGUCUUAACUGGGCGUUAAGUUGCAGGGUAUAGACCCGAAACCCGGUGAUCUAGCCAUGGGCAGGUUGAAGGUUGGGUAACACUAACUGGAGGACCGAACCGACUAAUGUUGAAAAAUUAGCGGAUGACUUGUGGCUGGGGGUGAAAGGCCAAUCAAACCGGGAGAUAGCUGGUUCUCCCCGAAAGCUAUUUAGGUAGCGCCUCGUGAAUUCAUCUCCGGGGGUAGAGCACUGUUUCGGCAAGGGGGUCAUCCCGACUUACCAACCCGAUGCAAACUGCGAAUACCGGAGAAUGUUAUCACGGGAGACACACGGCGGGUGCUAACGUCCGUCGUGAAGAGGGAAACAACCCAGACCGCCAGCUAAGGUCCCAAAGUCAUGGUUAAGUGGGAAACGAUGUGGGAAGGCCCAGACAGCCAGGAUGUUGGCUUAGAAGCAGCCAUCAUUUAAAGAAAGCGUAAUAGCUCACUGGUCGAGUCGGCCUGCGCGGAAGAUGUAACGGGGCUAAACCAUGCACCGAAGCUGCGGCAGCGACGCUGAUGCGUUGUUGGGUAGGGGAGCGUUCUGUAAGCCUGUGAAGGUGUGCUGUGAGGCAUGCUGGAGGUAUCAGAAGUGCGAAUGCUGACAUAAGUAACGAUAAAGCGGGUGAAAAGCCCGCUCGCCGGAAGACCAAGGGUUCCUGUCCAACGUUAAUCGGGGCAGGGUGAGUCGACCCCUAAGGCGAGGCCGAAAGGCGUAGUCGAUGGGAAACAGGUUAAUAUUCCUGUACUUGGUGUUACUGCGAAGGGGGGACGGAGAAGGCUAUGUUGGCCGGGCGACGGUUGUCCCGGUUUAAGCGUGUAGGCUGGUUUUCCAGGCAAAUCCGGAAAAUCAAGGCUGAGGCGUGAUGACGAGGCACUACGGUGCUGAAGCAACAAAUGCCCUGCUUCCAGGAAAAGCCUCUAAGCAUCAGGUAACAUCAAAUCGUACCCCAAACCGACACAGGUGGUCAGGUAGAGAAUACCAAGGCGCUUGAGAGAACUCGGGUGAAGGAACUAGGCAAAAUGGUGCCGUAACUUCGGGAGAAGG